RNAcentral lists this ribosomal RNA (485 nucleotides) under uncultured Pseudomonadota bacterium. Its description in RNAcentral is "bacterial SSU rRNA". It matches the Rfam family "Bacterial small subunit ribosomal RNA", at positions 355 to 857 of the family's 1533-position model. The record is from RNAcentral. Lineage: Bacteria; Pseudomonadati; Pseudomonadota.
UGGGGAAUAUUGGACAAUGGGCGCAAGCCUGAUCCAGCAAUGCCGCGUGAGUGAGGAAGGCCUUAGGGUUGUAAAGCUCUUUCGCACGCGACGAUGAUGACGGUAGCGUGAGAAGAAGCCCCGGCUAACUUCGUGCCAGCAGCCGCGGUAAUACGAAGGGGGCGAGCGUUGUUCGGAUUUACUGGGCGUAAAGGGCGCGCAGGCGGCCAUUUUUGUCAGGCGUGAAAGCCCCGGGCUUAACCUGGGAACUGCGCUUGAGACGGGAUGGCUAGAGAUCGGGAGAGGAGAGUGGAAUUCCCAGUGUAGAGGUGAAAUUCGUAGAUAUUGGGAAGAACACCGGUGGCGAAGGCGGCUCUCUGGACCGACACUGACGCUGAGGCGCGAAAGCGUGGGGAGCAAACAGGAUUAGAUACCCUGGUAGUCCACGCUGUAAACGAUGUGUGCUAGACGUUGGGGAGCCUAGCUCUUCGGUGUCGCAGCUAACG